Molecule: ribosomal RNA, 506 nt
Filed under: uncultured bacterium
Lineage: Bacteria
Description: partial 16S ribosomal RNA
Rfam family: Bacterial small subunit ribosomal RNA
Source: RNAcentral
AGUGAACGCUGGCGGUAGGCCUAACACAUGCAAGUCGAACGGCAGCACAGGAGAGCUUGCUCUCUGGGUGGCGAGUGGCGGACGGGUGAGGAAUACAUCGGAAUCUACUUUUUCGUGGGGGAUAACGUAGGGAAACUUACGCUAAUACCGCAUACGACCUACGGGUGAAAGCAGGGGACCUUCGGGCCUUGCGCGAUUGAAUGAGCCGAUGUCGGAUUAGCUAGUUGGCGGGGUAAAGGCCCACCAAGGCGACGAUCCGUAGCUGGUCUGAGAGGAUGAGCAGCCACACUGGAACUGAGACACGGUCCAGACUCCUACGGGAGGCAGCAGUGGGGAAUAUUGGACAAUGGGCGCAAGCCUGAUCCAGCCAUACCGCGUGGGUGAAGAAGGCCUUCGGGUUGUAAAGCCCUUUUGUUGGGAAAGAAAUCCAGCUGGCUAAUACCCGGUUGGGAUGACGGUACCCAAGGAAUAAGCACCGGCUAACUUCGUGCCAGCCGCCGCGGUAA